This 207-nucleotide ribosomal RNA is filed under the name uncultured bacterium. RNAcentral's name for it is "partial 16S ribosomal RNA". It matches the Rfam family "Bacterial small subunit ribosomal RNA", at positions 568 to 774 of the family's 1533-position model. The record is from RNAcentral.
CGUGUAGCCGGGUCGGCAAGUCAGAUGUGAAAUCCACGGGCUUAACUCGUGAACCGCAUUUGAAACUGUUGAUCUUGAGUAUCGGAGAGGCAAUCGGAAUUCCUAGUGUAGCGGUGAAAUGCGUAGAUAUUAGGAGGAACACCAGUUGCGAAGGCGGCUCUCUGGACUGUAACUGACACUGAGGCACGAAAGCGUGGGGAGCAAACA